GAGCCAGCUCAGCCCAGCGGUUCCAUCGACCAACGUAUUGCUUGGAUCCUUCAAUCACUUUCAGCGGUUUGAGACCCGUGGGUGCUGCCUGGCUUAUAA
Molecule: vault RNA, 99 nt
Filed under: Podarcis muralis (Common wall lizard)
Lineage: Eukaryota; Metazoa; Chordata; Lepidosauria; Squamata; Lacertidae
Description: Vault RNA (ENSPMRG00000019753.1)
Rfam family: Vault RNA
About the family: This family of RNAs are found as part of the enigmatic vault ribonucleoprotein complex. The complex consists of a major vault protein (MVP), two minor vault proteins (VPARP and TEP1), and several small untranslated RNA molecules.
Source: Rfam by way of RNAcentral